UCACGGCCUUAGUGGAAAAGGUGCAGAAAUUAGGAGCAGCAGAACAUCAUUUAAAUCUCAAAAUUGGGCUAUAUGGCACUUCUAAUUCAGGUGGCAAUGGGUCAAAAGUGACUUGUGCUCAGUAUGACUUCAGGUUCUUCCAAAACGUGAGCUGAUGUUCUUAUUUCAGUUCCUGGAAAAUAUCUGCCCCUCUUUGCUAAUUUAAAGGACAGAUAUAAUGAGUUGGUACAAGCUAUUGUCUCCAGUCCUUGCAGAAGCUGUUUCUUUGGGCCAAGAAGAAAGUGCCUUUGUUGGGUCAUGCCCUUCUCACGCUGCUCACCUCGCUCAUCGCAGCAUCAACCCAUCAUCCCUCUCAGAGGUUUCAUUUAAAACGUGUGAAACUUCUUUGGGAUAACCAUACCCAACCUCUCUGCAUCUCCUCCAGGCCAAGCAGUUCACAGAUAUUAUCUACCUAUCUCCCUCUGGUAUCUAUAAGGUCCCAAUCACUGGUAUCUAGGUGAGAUUAAGCCUCGACACACCCCAUGAGAUAGGUAUGUUAAGUGUUGCCAUCCUUGUUUUUACAGACAAGGAGGUUUGGCGAGAUGCUGAGAGCCUCCGCCGGCCCAGGCAGGCAGCGGGGGACGAGUCUGGCAGCCAGCUCAGAGCAGGGCCAGCUCACACCUGGCUCCCCUGGCCAAAUAGCUUGGAAAUGCAUAUAAAUGCACAUUGCAAGAAAGUACUGUGGUUUUUCUUUGUCUUACAGACCAGACAAGCACCAGGUGCGUGUAAAACCCAUGCGUUUCUGAAGAAGUGGCGUGUGCUGGCAGUUAACUGCAUUGUGCACAGCUGCAAAAGCUGUUAAUCAGUGCACGGGUAUCAUGUCCUGUUUCCAAAGCAUCCACAAAGAGCUUGGAAAUUCUCUCCCCAAACUCCACGUUGUCACUGCAUCCUCCCCAGACCCAGCCUCGGCCACCUGCAAGACAGACACACGCUAAGGGACAGAACUGUCCCGUUGGGCUGAGUUCUGCCCUGAAAUCCUGGGGCAGCUGCGUGCGGGGACGGAGAGAGGACGGCAGCCCGUCUGGAACCGGCAGCUCACCGACACGGCCGUUCCUGGAGUCGUCGCAGCCGCAGCUCUCGAAGUCUCCCAUGCUGCAGUUCCUGAUUCAAAUAGAGACACUGCUUUGGGAAAAAAAGAGACUUCUUGUUGAAGUAGACAGUACUGAAAUAUAUCCACAGCUUUCUUAUGAAGACAGUUUCUUUGGGCAUGUCUCUGGUUUCUGCCUUUGUCUCUCUGCACUUGCCCCCAUUGCAAGCUCAGGUGCCUCCAGCAUCGAGCUCCCUGGGAUGCUGCACGAAAAGUGGCUGAAGUGAGCCCAAGGAGCAGCUCUGCAGGAAGGACCCAGCUCCAGCCCGGCAUGGAUAGAGAUCCGGAAAGAGCCUGAAAUUCCUAGAAAAAUACUUGCCCUGUUUAUUAGGCCAUCUAAUACAGAUAGAGAAAAACAAACAUGACUUCUGGGACACCAAAAUCCUUCUCCAUCAUUCGGUUUAAAGAGCAGCCCCAGCACUCUGCAGAACACAUCCCGGCUGGUACCCAAAGGCAUCCCGGGCUGGGGAUGCGGUACUGGCGGGUCCGGGCGCACUCACCGCUGCGGAGCCGGUUGUGGGUGGAGAGCUGCAGGGCACUCUCGGGGCAGUUCCAGCGCUCCCAUCCAAACUGGAACUUGCACUCCUCCAUGCCGCUGUGCGCCCCGGCCGCCACGCUGCUGGAGUACGUCAGGUCCAGUCAUCAGAAAGUUAUUCACAGACCUGAAAUGAAGAAAAGAAAAUGAAUCACACAGCUUACCAUAGGCUGAAGAGCAUCCCUAAAAAAAUGCCCUUUCCACCGAGCUGGACCCUACCAUGCUGCUGCGUGGAGAACGGCGCUGUAGACCCCUGUGAUGGAGAGGAUGAGGAAGGUGCUUCUCUUCAUGGCUGUCAUGAGGAGCGAGGAUGGGUCCCUUUCGCUGAUCCGUAAGCUCUCUGUGCCGCAGGGCCGCCUCCCUCUGCUCCUCCCCAAGGAAAAGAAUAUAAACCCUGAAGUUUUUUGGCUGCUUAAGAAAAUGAGGCUGCUGAAGCAGAGGAACAGACCAGACAACCAAGGGUCUUCUCUAGCUGAUCUCUGUGAGCAAUUCCAGAAUAAAAACGUGUAUUUCUACUUGAAGGGAUCCAUACAUCAUCUUUUCAAAAAAUCAUUUUCCAAUUUCAUAAGCUUGUUAUACAGAGUAAGCCAAACCCAUCGGUAUUAUACGCUGUGUACAAGGUCAACAAUUAUGUAAGAAAGUGGUAAUCAGUAAGUUCCAUAUUUGUUAACUUCUCUGUUCAAAUGUAAGUGGAUUAUGCUAAAUCCUGUUUUCUUUCAAAUGUAUGAAAAAAAGACACUUCACCUCUCACAGCAUCUGAAGUGAACAGCUAUCUCUUCAGAACCUGACUGAAUUAAAGAAUGUUUUCAAUGACUGAUUUUAUGUCUUUUUUUCUUGCAAAUAUAUAUAAAGUGCAGAAAUCAGCUGCAGUCUUACUAAGGCUAUGACUUCAUAACAGGGUUAACCUGAGCUCUGCACACCCAAACUGACUCCUCUGGGGUUACACUACUUUGAGCACGAGUGACCACACCAUGAAAUAACACAGGAGC
This is a long non-coding RNA of Columba livia (rock pigeon), 2650 nucleotides long. RefSeq lists it as uncharacterized. The record is from RefSeq and is a predicted model, not a curated record. NCBI's taxonomy places the organism in Eukaryota, Metazoa, Chordata, Aves, Columbiformes, Columbidae. The transcript is spliced from 5 exons.